Molecule: transfer RNA, 17 nt
Filed under: Medicago ruthenica
Lineage: Eukaryota; Viridiplantae; Streptophyta; Magnoliopsida; Fabales; Fabaceae
Description: partial tRNA-His
Source: RNAcentral
GGGCGGAUGUACCCAAG